GGGUCGUUAGCUCAGUUGGUAGAGCAGUUGACUCUUAAUCAAUUGGUCGCAGGUUCGAGCCCUGCACGACCCACCA
This 76-nucleotide transfer RNA is filed under the name Pectobacterium brasiliense. RNAcentral's name for it is "tRNA-Lys". It matches the Rfam family "tRNA". From Rfam's summary of the family: Transfer RNA (tRNA) molecules are approximately 80 nucleotides in length. The record is from RNAcentral. Lineage: Bacteria; Pseudomonadati; Pseudomonadota; Gammaproteobacteria; Enterobacterales; Pectobacteriaceae.